AUAUUAUAUUAUAUUAUAUUAUAUUAUAUUAUAUUAUAUUAUAUUAUAUUAUAUUAUAUUAUAUUAUUGUACGACUUAUACUAGGCCUAUUAUAUGAUUGUACUAUUUACUACUCACUAUUCACUAUUUAUUUAGUGUUUUUAUUUUAUUGACUAUAUUAUUUUACAAUUUAUGUAAUUUAUGUAUGUGUGUAUACAAUUUAAUAUUUUAUUCAGUAAUUAUAUUACUACCAUUUUAUACUCAUACUCACUUUUAUUUUUAGGCUAUUCAUAAUAAUAAUAAUAAUCUGUAGAAUAAAACUCCCAUAUACUGUAUAUUGAACUUUAACAUUUAACCUUUAACCUUAUAGUACACUUAAAUUCAUAAAUUUAAGCUGUAUUGUAGUUGUGAUGCAAAUGUUUUACUGCUGUAACAUAAUUGUUUACUGGAUCCAUUAAGGAUGAUCCUGUAAAUAGGGGUUCAAGAUGUGCUAUUAACGUUGCCCACUAGAGGGAGCCACAGGAUGAGGAAUAUUUCAAACCCAAUCAUUUUCUAUCUGUUUCCAUUCAUUUGAAUUGAAAUAAAUGCAUUUGGUUGAUUUGUAUAACUAUGGUGUACUGACAGUAAAUCUGUGAAAUGCUUAUAGAUCAGUAAAUGUUUUUCAGACCUCGGUAAAACACAUUUUCAAGUUGCCAGACAAUUAUUUAUAUUUUUGUAAUUUAAUGAAAUUGUUUUUUAGUUAAUAUUUUAUACUAUAAUAAAACAUUUCUAUAAAGACAAUUAUUGUUAAUAAAACAAAUAUUAUACAAACAAUAUAAGCAUAAGGCUAGGAGGCAACACAUAUAGAAAUGAAUUGUAAAAAUGAAAAGGUAAAGAUAAAUGCAUCAGCAAAUUAUUUUCACGUUCAUCUGAAAUUGCCCUGUGACAUCCUAUGAUGUGAUUUAAAAAAAAAAAAAAAAGCUAAAAUGAAGAAAGAAAAAAAACAUUUCCACAAUGUAAAACAUUGGGCAUAUUUCAAGUAUAUUACAUUAUAUUACAUUAAGGACGUCUCCACAAUUAUUAACCAAGAAAAACAAACCAUUUCUAUGCUUGACAAGUGUGAUUCUACACAAUUCCUUAUGACAAUGAAUACCUUACAAUGAAUGAAUAAGUUCUAACUAGCGAGAUUCUGAGUAAUUAGAAACAGAAACUUUUUCAUACACCACGCAGAUCAAAAGCCGUUGAAAUCGGUUGAUAAAUGUAAACUUUACUUCACUUUUUGUCCACAAAAGCUGCAGAUCCCUGUUUACUUGUAUUUGUUUACAGUGCAGUCUUGGCCGGACCAAUUUUGCUGACUUGUUGAUGUUUCGCAGCAAUGGUCCAAAGCGGCCAAUGAGGCGUCUACAAAUUUUAUAUGUCUAUGGGCAGAAUUUCAUAUACACUUCUCCCAGAGGAGCGGAUAAUGCACCUUAAUGUUGGUGCUACCCGCCAUUAAACCAAAGAAGAAGAGCGUGCGCACACAUCAACUAGCAGCCCAUGCUUCAUUCGUGUUACGGAAGUCAUCGGCAGGCAAUGCUGCACAGGACUUGCUUGAGAAGAAUGUCUCCAAAGAAGUGUGUUUUUGGAUGUGAGGGAAAGAUAACCUUAUUUAGCUUCCCGAAGAACCCAGCGUUACAUGAACCGUGGAUACAGUUUGUUUUUCUGGGACAGCAAUGGAGUUUCGCAAGUGUGUUUGUUUGUUCCUGUCAUUUCAAGGCCAAGUUGAUUUGAUGCUGGAUCUGUUUGAUACUGAAUAAUGGCGAUGAAAGAUCCCUGUCAUGAGUCGGAACCGCAAGCGGUGAGUAAAACUAAAGACUAUAGAAUACCCAAGACAUGUCACUCAUAUAGUUUUGAAUGGGGAAAAAUGCAACACUCAAUAUGGUUACUCAGUCGCAGGAAGCCUGUGUUUUACUCACCCUUGAGGCAUCCUAGGUGUAUAUGGCUUUCUUCUUUCAGACAAAUCCAGUCAAAGUUAUAUUAAAAAUUUGUCCUGGCUAUUACAAGCUCUAUCAUUGCAGCCAGCCAGUUUUGCAGUUGAACAGUCCACAAGUCGUCAAAAUAAAGCACGUGCAUCCAUAAUAAAACGUGCCUCACACGGCUCUGGGGGUGAAUAAAGGCCUUCUGUACCGAAUCCAUGUGUUUUUGUAAGACAAAUAUCCAUAUUUCAAACGUAAUAAACACUUUUCGCUCAUGUCCGGUAUCUCAUACGCGGAAGCAGUGAUAAGUGACAAAUGCAGAGAGAAGACAAAACAAAAAUGCCAGUCACAAAUUAGAAGUACAAACCGAGGAUUUGUAAAGAAAAAUGUUAGAGGAUUUCGAUAUAAACCCAGCGGAGACUGGUUGUCCUGUGCUAAAGUAAGGAAACUUUGCUUCCUUUGCUCUUAUAAACUAACUCGCGAGACUAGCAUAUCUCAGAGGUAUGCUGGAAUAGCCAGGACAAUUUUCAAUAUAACUCCUACUGAAUUCGUCUGAAAGAAGAAAGUCAUAUACACCUAGGAUGCAUCGAGGGUGAGUAAAACACAAUUUUCAUUUUUGGGUGAACUACCCCUUUAAUUAGUAUAAUCAUUGCUUAAAUGAUGCCUGAUAUUCAUAAAACAUGCAUGUCUAUAGACAGUGAAAAACAUCACUUUGACCUUCACAGAGACAGGAAGAGACAGGUGCCUGUGGCGUUGUGGUUGGACACACCCACGGAGUGGACUCUGUUAGGCCGAAAGAAAAGGUCACAGAAAUGUCAUGCAGUCAUGUCCUUGUAAGUUUGAUCAGACUGCUGCUUGGUUUCUUCCUGCUGUACUUUUCAACAUCCGUAAUAACACCACACCAAGCUUUUGAUCUGUGUUGCUUUAAAUGUUAGCUGUGAUGACUCCGCUAACAACCGUUGUGUUCAAUUUGCAUUGAAAUUAAGCAUUUCAAAUAAUUUUUUUGAUGUUCAUUCAACGUUAUUUCAUGCAACUGAUGCAACUGGAAAAAACUCCCUCACUUUACUUUACUUUACAGAAGGCAAGAAAUACAAGAGGAAACUUGACAAUCACAUGCUUGGAAGUCAAUUGACCCUUCGCAAAGACCCGCCCC
Cyprinus carpio carpio is the source of this 3066-nucleotide long non-coding RNA. The record is from Ensembl. Lineage: Eukaryota; Metazoa; Chordata; Actinopteri; Cypriniformes; Cyprinidae.